CGUUCACUUCCGGGGCGGAGGGACGAAUUGCAAGUUCUGCCCCUUCAUUGUGUCCCUCCUAGCCAGUCUGAUCCCCCUCGUCCCGCCGGUGUGGCUGUCCCUGAUCUCAAGUGGCUGGUGCCCCGGGAGCCCUGUAUGACAACCAGCUGCCUCAAGAGCCAGGCAUGUAAACUUGAGGCAAUACUGAUUGGGAGGACCUGUUUUUGAGGCUCUAGUGAAGCACAGUUAUGCUGUUUCCUCUCACCAGGGGAACUCCCAUGUCUCAGGAGAUUGCCCUAAGCACAGAGCUCUGGGGUAUUCUGCUCUGGGUGCUUCCUCAAUCUUCUGUUGAAGCUGUUCCAGUAUGAACCAACUAAAGAGUUAUUGAAGCAUGGGCACUGGACUCCAGGUCUCCCACGUGGAUGCCCUACCACUGGCUUACAGAGUCAUAUUUUCUUUCCCCCUGUCGGGUCUAAUGACUAUUCCACAAUGGAUAAAUACUUAAAUAGUCAUUGAACCAUAUCAGACCUGAACAGCAGUGUAAUGUUGCCACUAUGGUUAAUGUUUCAACAGCACUCCAAUUAUUGACUUUACAUUUUUAGAUGUAUGUUUUAUUGCUAUUUAAAGUAGGGGAAAAUCUUUAAUUUCAAAACAAAAAUCAACUAUUCCUUUAAGACAGGCAUUUUAAAAAUAAUUUUACAGAUUGUGCUUUGAGUCAAAUUCAUAAAUUCCAUUUUAAAAGAAGUCCUAAAUCCUUAGUCCAUGCAUCUUAUUCUGCAAUCCUGACUCUCACAUGUUGCCCCAAUGAAGUCAGUGCUACCGCACAUGUAGACUCUGAAUUAUUGUUUUAAAUAUGGCAAUUAAAAUGGUUUGUUGAUAUUAAGGAUCCAUUCUACAAAUCAAUACACUGCUAAAUAAGAUUCAUAUCUUCUUCCAUGACUCUGAAUCAAGGAGUGUUUCACUGACUUUAAUAAAAAUGAGCAUGAAAAAACAUUUAGUCAGCCACAUCAGUUCUUAAUAUAAAUACUGUCUGAAACAGAUGGAAGUUUUUUUUUUCCUUGCAAUGGUGUGCUGAUCUUAAUUUUACUUUUAGAUACUGUAACUUUUACUACAGUCCCAUUUAAUGGACUAAUGCCUAUGGUAUUAAUUUUCAUACCACAUAAAACCACAAAAUGGCUCAGUGAUGCAUUGGAUAUAUAAUAUACCAAAUUACAAGAUGGAGGUUUGUGUUUCCUGUAUUUAAAUAGGGAAUAAAAAGUUACUGAAACCAGCACAUACUGUACAGCUUAUAGUACAUACUGAAAUACAGCUGAUUUCUUUUAAAAUUAUUCUUAUAUAGCAUUGUUGCAGUGACCAUAUCCUAGCACCCCUGCAUGGGACACUAGUUUUAUUACCAAGACCAAUGCAUUCCUGGAGGUCUUUGACAUGUGGUCAAUAAUACCAAAGCAACCGUUGUGUCAUAAGACAUGCAAAUUAAAACAAGCUAAGCACAAUAAAAAACAAUUGCUUUUAAGUUACACAUAAUAGUUCUAGUACAAGCUCCCAAAUUGUACCAAUACACUUGCAACUUUUUGCACACAUCUAGUGGUUAAAGACAGUUAGCAGCUAGAGUUCUAUCAAGCUCAAUUUACACUCAACUGCAUUUUUCAAAUAAAAGAGUCCUUUCUAGAUCAGCUGGAUAAAAGGUUUGAAGAACAACUACUGCCUAUCUGGAGAUCUCAAAACACUUUACAAACAAUUAAGGUCUGCAACACCUCUGAGGUACCCAGUUUACCUCUGCACCUGCUUCUCUUAACAGAGGUAGAGUCUGGUCCUGUGAAGUGCUGAGUUGAGUGCUUGACUUCAAUGGAAGCUACAGGUGCUGAUCAUCAGCACACAGUCAGGUCUAUUUUAACAGGAAGUUAAAGGUGCAAGCUGCAAGUCUACUAGUAACCCUGAACACCACAUUAGCUAUUUGCAAUAAAUCUUAUUCAUAAGCUAAAGCCAUGUUCUUUUGUACAAUAUUACCUCACAGACAUAUUGUCUGGUUUCUGAAGGACCUACUACUUGGGGUGAAGCUGUUGAUUUAGUGAUCUUCUCCUUAUAAUUGAAAUAUCUAGAUUCCCUGGAACUCCUGGUUCAAACCCCAGUACUGCAUCCUGCUAAAAUGGAUGAAUUGAGUCCCAUGCACUUUCCUAGGUUGGGGAGGCUUUUCAGAUUAGACCUUACAAAAAGCAGUUGUGAAUUCUGUUGAACUGUGAAUGUCCACAGUAAGUGUUUUCAUUUGGGUUCCAUUCCAGAAACUUUGGUUAACAGAAAGCCUGGUUUAUCCUUGUAAGUUAUUAGUUAACAUACAAGCCUUAGAUUUGUUGCUUUUGCUCUCCUGCCUGCUCCAUCCUCAAAAAAACCAAACCCCACCAAUCAGGAUUUUGAGGACGUUUAUUCAAGUAACUGUUUCUUGCUAUAUCCCAGAACUGGACCCUUCACUUUCCUCUCCGCACGAUUGUUAAAUCGUUAAUAGAUCUUUAUAUAUAACCAACAGAAAAAUACUUCCAUCAGAAAUCAUUUGAUACCCCAUCACCUUCUCCAAAGGGAAAAGGUGCAAGGUGAAUUGAAACAAAAUUGUUCAUUAGUUAGCCUGGGGGAUAUUUAUGGUCACAAAAUCCAGAGGGGCACAGAAAUAUAACUAGGAAAAAAUAGGUGUCCUGUAUCUGCUACUACCUUGGCAGAGUUGGGACAGAUACAAGAUGUUGAUAUGAAGGCUCAAAACUGGACAUUUGCUGGCAUGCUUGCUGUAUCAGUUCUAAUAUAAACUUGGAACAUGACAGUGCCCUCAGUACGACCAGUUUCCCUUUUGGAAUUUUGUAUACAUUAGUUAUAAUGGCCUGAGUAGGACCUAAGAGGACUAGGUGCAAUUAAAAUAUCUAGCCCUACUUGGGGGAGCACAGGUAUAAAUUAGGAGGAACGGGAGGCAACGAGAGCCAAGCUGGAGGCAAAGGCAAAGCUGUGCAAUCUUGAAUGUGACCGAGCAUCUCAAACUUCGUAUCCUUUGUAUCAGAGAAGGAGAGGGUAGGGGAGGAAGAGCGAGACCAUGAACUCAAAGCAGACAUGAGGAAUUUAAGUGAGGGCAGCACAGGAAGAAUAUCCCCUUAUUCUACAUUUCAGCUUACUGGAAAGCUACACACAUUUUCCUAGAUACAGAAGGUUGAGAUUGUGGAGAAUGUAAAUUCUAUUACAUGGUCUUUUUUUUUUUUUUGACUAAUAUCCCCUUUCUUGUAGGGGAAGUUUUCCCUCCUACAAAUGAGGACAUAAUACAAAGUUUCCUUAGAUUACCACCAAAACAGUAAGCGAUUUGUUUGGGAAUUCCUCUGCAUGCCCCCCCCCCAAACACAGAGUCAGGACUACUAGUAAACGUUUCUUAAAAGAUUUAUUAAAGUAUCAUUUAUCACAAAUAGAGAAAUAAACAGAUUAGAAGCAUGCAACCAUCAUCUCCCACAUUUAAGUAAUUUCUGUAUGCAUUUUUUUCUUGCAUUCACAGCAUGUUGUCAAACUUCAAACGUUAGUGCCAGCUUCACUCUUCCUGAAAAUGUUUCAAGGCAAUAGAUAACAAAAAACAGUAAGGUAAGAUAGUGUGAGAAAAGUGCAGAGUAAAAAAUAUGUACACACACACACUCAAGCCUCCCUCCCAACCUCUUUCCCCCUCAAAAAAAAUGAUUAAAGAAAGGCAAAAAACUCAUUUUGCUGGUAGAUCAGAUUGUCUUUAUGAACUACUUUACAAAAAUUACUCUACAAAUUAAGAGCCCGACCUAGCAGACAUGUAUGCCUGCGGCUAACUUUACUCAUAUGAGUUGUUCAGUUGAUUUCACAUGAACUAGUUCACUCAUGUAGUUCUAAUGUUUGCAGUACAAGACCCCAAGGCAAUAACCAUGUUUAAGACCAUUAAAGAGAACAAAAACUAAAG
Long non-coding RNA from Chrysemys picta bellii (western painted turtle), 3919 nucleotides. RefSeq lists it as uncharacterized. The record is from RefSeq and is a predicted model, not a curated record. NCBI's taxonomy places the organism in Eukaryota, Metazoa, Chordata, Testudines, Emydidae.